UUAUAGCCCUGAUGGGAACGGCAUCCUUGCUUGGCGGGGUUCGCCGAGCAAGAUAUAGUGUACAGCAGGAGGGAUU
RNAcentral lists this small RNA (76 nucleotides) under Flavobacterium succinicans. RNAcentral describes it as "Flavo-1 RNA". It matches the Rfam family "Flavo-1 RNA". Lineage: Bacteria; Pseudomonadati; Bacteroidota; Flavobacteriia; Flavobacteriales; Flavobacteriaceae. The record is from RNAcentral.